GGGGGGGGGGGGGGGGGGGGGGGGGGGGGUGGAGUGGGGGGGGAGGGCGCUGGGGGUGGGGGGUGCUGGAGUGGCGAGCGCGUGAGUAACGCGUGAGUGAGCUGCCCUUGCCUUUUGUGUAACUUGCGGAAGCUGGGGCUGCUGCCGGAGAGGCGCGCCGACUGCGUGGGUGGUGGUGUAACGGUUCGGCGGUCGGGGAUGGACUCGCGGCUUAGCGGCUUGUGGGUGGAGUAGUGGCUUACCAAGGCGUUGACGGGUCGCCGGCCUGAGAGGGUGACCGGCCACAUUGGGACUGAGAUACGGCCCAGACUCCUACGGGAGGCAGCAGUGGGGAAUAUUGCACAAUGGGCGGAAGCCUGAUGCAGCAACGCCGCGUGCGGGAUGACGGCCUUCGGGUUGUAAACCGCUUUCGCCUGUGACGAAGCGGGAGUGACGGUAAUGGGUAAAGAAGCACCGGCUAACUACGUG
RNAcentral lists this ribosomal RNA (468 nucleotides) under uncultured bacterium. Its description in RNAcentral is "partial 16S ribosomal RNA". The stretch from base 48 to 468 matches the Rfam family "Bacterial small subunit ribosomal RNA", at positions 34 to 507 of the family's 1533-position model. The record is from RNAcentral.